Molecule: ribosomal RNA, 459 nt
Filed under: uncultured bacterium
Lineage: Bacteria
Description: SSU rRNA
Rfam family: Bacterial small subunit ribosomal RNA
Source: RNAcentral
AGAAUCAACGCUGGCGGCGUGCCUAACACAUGCAAGUCGCACGAGAAAGUGGAGCAAUCCACGAGUAAAGUGGCGCACGGGUGAGUAACACGUGAAUGAUCUACCUCCGAGUGGGGAAUAACUGAGAGAAAUCUUAGCUAAUACCGCAUAAUACCCACGGGUCAAAGCAGCAAUGCGCUUGGAGAGGAGUUCGCGGCCGAUUAGCUAGUUGGCGGGGUAAUGGCCCACCAAGGCGAUGAUCGGUAUCCGGCCUGAGAGGGCGCACGGACACACUGGAACUGAAACACGGUCCAGACUCCUACGGGAGGCAGCAGUGGGGAAUUUUGCGCAAUGGGGGAAACCCUGACGCAGCAACGCCGCGUGGAGGAUGAAUCCCUUGGGAUGUAAACUCCUUUCGAUAGGGAAGAUAAUGACGGUACCUAUAGAAGAAGCCCCGGCUAACUUCGUGCCAGCAGCCGC